UAGGCUGCCGUUAUCGUACCGUGCAGUCGACGAUGAAGCCAGCUUGCUCGUGGAUUAGUAGGCGAACGGGUGAGUAACACGUGAGUAACCUGCCCUUGACUCUGGGAUAAGCCUGGGAAACUGGGUCUAAUACCGGAUAUGACCUUCCAUCGCAUGGUGGUUGGUGGAAAGCUUUUGUGGUUUUGGAUGGACUCGCGGCCUAUCAGCUUGUUGGUGGGGUAAUGGCCUACCAAGGCGACGACGGGUAGCCGGCCUGAGAGGGUGACCGGCCACACUGGGACUGAGACACGGCCCAGACUCCUACGGGAGGCAGCAGUGGGGAAUAUUGCACAAUGGGCGCAAGCCUGAUGCAGCGACGCCGCGUGAGGGAUGACGGCCUUCGGGUUGUAAACCUCUUUCAGUAGGGAAGAAGCGUAAGUGACGGUACCUGCAGAAGAAGCGCCGGCUAACUACGUGCCAGCAGCCGCGGUAAUACGUAGGGCGCAAGCGUUAUCCGGAAUUAUUGGGCGUAAAGAGCUCGUAGGCGGUUUGUCGCGUCUGCCGUGAAAGUCCGGGGCUCAACUCCGGAUCUGCGGUGGGUACGGGCAGACUAGAGUGAUGUAUGGGAGACUGGAAUUCCUGGUGUAUCGGUGAAAUGCGCACAUAUCAGGAGGAACACCGAUGGCGAAGGCAGGUCUCUGGGCAUUAACUGACGCUGAGGAGCGAAAGCAUGGGGAGCGAACAGGAUUAGAUACCCUGGUAGUCCAUGCCGUAAACGUUGGGCACUAGGUGUGGGGGACAUUCCACGUUUUCCGCGCCGUAGCUAACGCAUUAAGUGCCCCGCCUGGGGAGUACGGCCGCAAGGCUAAAACUCACAGGAAUUGACGGGGGCCCGCACAAGCGGCGGAGCAUGCGGAUUAAUUCGAUGCAACGCGAAGAACCUUACCAAGGCUUGACAUGAACCGGACCGGGCUGGAAACAGUCUUUCCCCUUGUGGGCUGGUUUACAGGUGGUGCAUGGUU
This 1001-nucleotide ribosomal RNA is filed under the name Pseudarthrobacter enclensis. RNAcentral describes it as "bacterial SSU rRNA". It matches the Rfam family "Bacterial small subunit ribosomal RNA", at positions 37 to 1050 of the family's 1533-position model. The record is from RNAcentral. Lineage: Bacteria; Bacillati; Actinomycetota; Actinomycetes; Micrococcales; Micrococcaceae.